RNAcentral lists this ribosomal RNA (237 nucleotides) under uncultured bacterium. RNAcentral describes it as "partial 16S ribosomal RNA". It matches the Rfam family "Bacterial small subunit ribosomal RNA", at positions 524 to 760 of the family's 1533-position model. The record is from RNAcentral.
GACGGAGGAUGCAAGCGUUAUCCGGAAUGAUUGGGCGUAAAGCGUCCGCAGGUGGCAGUUCAAGUCUGCUGUCAAAGACCGGGGCUUAACUUCGGAAAGGCAGUGGAAACUGAACAGCUAGAGUAUGGUAGGGGCAGAGGGAAUUCCUGGUGUAGCGGUGAAAUGCGUAGAGAUCAGGAAGAACAUCGGUGGCGAAGGCGCUCUGCUGGACCAUAACUGACUCUGAGGCACGAAAUC